AACGAACGCUGGCGGCAGGCUUAACACAUGCAAGUCGAACGCGUGUAGCAAUACACGGGUGGCGCACGGGUGAGUAACGCGUGGAUAUCUGCCUUUUGGUUCGGAAUAACUCCGGGAAACUGGAGCUAAUACCGGAUGGUUCCUACGGGAUAAAGAUUUAUCGCCAAAAGAUGAGUCCGCGUACGAUUAGCUAGCUGGUGAGGUAAUGGCUCACCAAGGCGACGAUCGUUAGCUGGUCUGAGAGGACAAUCAGCCACACUGGGACUGAGACGCGGCCCAGACUCCUACGGGAGGCAGCAGUGGGGAAUAUUGGACAAUGGGGGCAACCCUGAUCCAGCCAUGCCGCGUGAGUGAUGAAGGCCUCGGUUGUAAG
This 373-nucleotide ribosomal RNA is filed under the name uncultured bacterium. RNAcentral describes it as "bacterial SSU rRNA". It matches the Rfam family "Bacterial small subunit ribosomal RNA", at positions 29 to 429 of the family's 1533-position model. The record is from RNAcentral.